GAUGAACGCUAGCGGCAGGCCUAAUACAUGCAAGUCGAACGGUGUCUUCGGACAUAGUGGCGCACGAGUGCGUAACACGUAUGCAACCUACCUUACAUUGGGGGAUAGCCUUUCGAAAGGGAGAUUAAUACCGCAUAAGACAGUAGCUGGGCAUCCAGCAGCUGUUAAGGAUUUAUCGAUGUAAGCUGGGCAUGCGUCCAAUUAGCUAGUUGGUGAGGUAACGGCUCACCAAGGCAAUGAUUGGUAGGGGAACUGAGAGGUCAAUCCCCCACACUGGCACUGAGAUACGGGCCAGACUCCUACGGGAGGCAGCAGUAGGGAAUAUUGGGCAAUGGACGCAAGUCUGACCCAGCCAUGCCGCGCGCAGGAUGAAGGCGUUAUGCGUUGUAAACUGCUUUUAUACAGGAAGAAACGACUCUUGCGAGAGGCAUUGACGGUACUGUAUGAAUAAGCACCGGCUAACUCCGUGCCAGCAGCCGCAGUAA
This 485-nucleotide ribosomal RNA is filed under the name uncultured bacterium. RNAcentral describes it as "partial 16S ribosomal RNA". It matches the Rfam family "Bacterial small subunit ribosomal RNA", at positions 28 to 523 of the family's 1533-position model. The record is from RNAcentral.